UACGUAGGGUGCGAGCGUUAAUCGGAAUUACUGGGCGUAAAGCGUGCGCAGGCGGUGACGUAAGACCGAUGUGAAAUCCCCGGGCUUAACCUGGGAACUGCAUUGGUGACUGCAUCGCUCGAGUAUGGCAGAGGGGGGUAGAAUUCCACGUGUAGCAGUGAAAUGCGUAGAGAUGUGGAGGAAUACCGAUGGCGAAGGCAGCCCCCUGGGUCAAUACUGACGCUCAUGCACGAAAGCGUGGGGAGCAAACAGG
This 253-nucleotide ribosomal RNA is filed under the name uncultured bacterium. RNAcentral describes it as "partial 16S ribosomal RNA". It matches the Rfam family "Bacterial small subunit ribosomal RNA", at positions 524 to 776 of the family's 1533-position model. The record is from RNAcentral.